Molecule: ribosomal RNA, 301 nt
Filed under: uncultured bacterium
Lineage: Bacteria
Description: partial 16S ribosomal RNA
Rfam family: Bacterial small subunit ribosomal RNA
Source: RNAcentral
CAGUCGCCGCGGUAAUACGGAGGGAGCUAGCGUUGUUCGGAAUUACUGGGCGUAAAGCGCACGUAGGCGGCUUUGUAAGUCAGAGGUGAAAGCCUGGAGCUCAACUCCAGAACUGCCUUUGAGACUGCAUCGCUCGAAUCCGGGAGAGGUGAGUGGAAUUCCGAGUGUAGAGGUGAAAUUCGUAGAUAUUCGGAAGAACACCAGUGGCGAAGGCGGCUCACUGGACCGGUAUUGACGCUGAGGUGCGAAAGCGUGGGGAGCAAACAGGAUUAGAUACCCCUGUAGUCCCUGUCUCUUAUAC